CGUCUGGCGGAGCGCCCGGCGAGCACCCGCCGGCUCCAGGUGCCGGUGCGGCACGCCGACGGGUCGGGUGACGCGCCGGUGCCUCCGGCGACGGGCGUC
RNAcentral lists this transfer RNA (99 nucleotides) under freshwater metagenome. Its description in RNAcentral is "tRNA-Ser". The record is from RNAcentral.